GUUUUUAUUUUUCGAUUUUUCUCUUUACAAAAGGGGCAGAGAACUCGGGGUUUACAGGAAAGGGUCAUUUUUUCCCAACAAGUGGUAUCAGAAUGAGGUCGCCUAGCUUGAGGGGGGAAUCUUACUAUGCUCUGUGGUCGCAGCUUUGGCUGAUCUUCUACAUCAGAAAAUAUUUUCUAGUUCAAGAAGUUUGUAGGAGGGGAAGUUGGUGCAAUUGGAGUAUCGAGGCUUGUGGCGAAUUCUGGCGGUUAGAAUCAAGUCUGGUAGUGUGGAGGUACAUGUGUAGGUAAGCUCUGGCUUGGAAAGACUUGGUAAUUAAGUGGUCGCGCCGGACCCACUCUCUUUCCUGGGAACUUACCUGGUGUGCUGUUCACGAGCUACAGACGAGCAAGUGUUUU
RNAcentral lists this long non-coding RNA (398 nucleotides) under Nicotiana benthamiana. RNAcentral describes it as "long non-coding RNA (NBEN_LNC039515)". Lineage: Eukaryota; Viridiplantae; Streptophyta; Magnoliopsida; Solanales; Solanaceae. The record is from RNAcentral.